AGUGGCGGACGGGUGAGUAACGCGUGAGAAUCUGCCUUGGGGUCGGGGACAACCGCUGGAAACGGUGGCUAAUACCGGAUAAGCCGAUUGGUGAAAGAUUUAUUGCCCGAAGAGGAGCUCGCGUCUGAUUAGCUAGUUGGUGAGGUAAGAGCUCACCAAGGCAGCGAUCAGUAGCUGGUCUGAGAGGACGAUCAGCCACACUGGGACUGAGACACGGCCCAGACUCCUACGGGAGGCAGCAGUGGGGAAUUUUCCGCAAUGGGCGAAAGCCUGACGGAGCAAGACCGCGUGAGGGAGGAAGGCUCUUGGGUUGUAAACCUCUUUUCUCAGGGAAGAAGCUCUGACGGUACCUGAGGAAUCAGCCUCGGCUAACUCCGUGCCAGCAGCCGCGGUAAUACGGAGGAGGCAAGCGUUAUCCGGAAUUAUUGGGCGUAAAGCGUCCGCAGGUGGCGAUUCAAGUCUGCUGUCAAAGCACGGGGCUUAACUCCGUAAAGGCAGUGGAAACUGAAUAGCUAGAGUGCCGUAGGGGUAGAGGGAAUUCCCGGUGUAGCGGUGAAAUGCGUAGAGAUCGGGAAGAACAUCGGUGGCGAAAGCGCUCUACUGGACGGCAACUGACACUCAGGGACGAAAGCUAGGGGAGCGAAUGGGAUUAGAUACCCC
This 660-nucleotide ribosomal RNA is filed under the name uncultured bacterium. RNAcentral describes it as "bacterial SSU rRNA". It matches the Rfam family "Bacterial small subunit ribosomal RNA", at positions 94 to 788 of the family's 1533-position model. The record is from RNAcentral.